CCUACGGGUGGCUGCAGUGGGGAAUAUUGGACAAUGGGGGCAACCCUGAUCCAGCCAUGCCGCGUGUGGGAAGUAGGCCCUCGGGUUGUAAAGCACUUUCAGUGAGGAAGAACGCCUGGUGGUUAAUACCCAUCAGGAAAGACAUCACUCACAGAAGAAGCACCGGCUAACUCCGUGCCAGCAGCCGCGGUAAUACGGAGGGUGCGAGCGUUAAUCGGAAUUACUGGGCGUAAAGCGCGCGUAGGUGGCUUGAUAAGCCGGUUGUGAAAGCCCCGGGCUCAACCUGGGAACGGCAUCCGGAACUGUCAAGCUAGAGUGCAGGAGAGGAAGGUAGAAUUCCCGGUGUAGCGGUGAAAUGCGUAGAGAUCGGGAGGAAUACCAGUGGCGAAGGCGGCCUUCUGGACUGACACUGACACUGAGGUGCGAAAGCGUGGGUAGCAAACAGGAUUAGAUACCCGUGUAGUC
RNAcentral lists this ribosomal RNA (465 nucleotides) under Vreelandella stevensii. Its description in RNAcentral is "partial 16S ribosomal RNA". It matches the Rfam family "Bacterial small subunit ribosomal RNA", at positions 338 to 795 of the family's 1533-position model. The record is from RNAcentral. Lineage: Bacteria; Pseudomonadati; Pseudomonadota; Gammaproteobacteria; Oceanospirillales; Halomonadaceae.